ACACUUCUGACUGACUGUGAUGAUAAGCAAAAGAGACACUGUGGAUGUGUGAUGUGUUGUACUGCAUUUGUUUGAUCUGUUUACUAAUACUAGCUCUAAUAAAUACUGUAUAAAUUAUAUUUUGCUCCUGAAUUGAACUGUGUUAAAGGGGUUCACAUGGAAAAUAUAUGGUCAAUUAUGUAAAGGGUGAUUUUUGUUACUAUUAUACUAAUGGAGAUUUAGCACUUGCUACACAUUGUAAGAGCAGCUGUUCAAAGGAGCACUACGUCUUUUAAGGCUCUUUAUUCAGAGUCACGGUGUUGAUGUCCUGUCACGUGUUACAGUGAAAAAUAACCGUGUCUCCCACCUUCAGUAUUUAAAUCGUUAAUCUCAGACAGACUUCACUGAAUUCUUUUGUUAAAUAUGAGUAAGUCAUAGCCUUGUAACUUUACUAGAACAGACAGUGUCAUACAGAGUUGUGGGCUUAUAUGCACUACCUAUUUCCUAAUCUGAAAUGAUUAUGCUCUGAUUAACUUUGAACUAAUAUUUUAUUUUUACCAUUUAAAAGUCUGUUAAUUACUUAACCUGGCCCAUGUAUGACUUUACAUAUCUGUGUAUUGGUUUCAUGUUCCUCUAGAAGGUCCAACUUGACACACAACUUGAAUCCAACCAGACUGAACACUGACUCCAGGGACAGACGAGCCUGAAGGACACAGCUGUGAUGACCAUGUUCUGUCUCUUAUGGCAAAGCAGAAAUAUAAAACACUGGGUUCUUAUCUAAAGUGUAUCAAAUCAGAUCUCCACCAUGUUGCUGCUGAGGACAUCAGGUGCUGCAGUUCUUCAUCUAUGAAGAGAAAAAACGCACUGUUAAAGAAUGUUUUGUGUUGUGUAUAAAGCACAACAGAUUUCUGAUAGAACUGUUGUACUGUGGUCUUGGUUUAUAUCCUCAUGGUGAAAUGUACAUAUUUUAAGUCCCUUCUGAUAAAAGUGCUGAAAGAAAUACAACAUUGUACAAAUACAUAAAAUGUCUUUCUACCUCAUCAGUACUAUUCAAGGUGAUAAUCUCCCACAGACCUAUUGAUAACAGUCCAAAUCAAGUCUUUCCACUUCUCUCAGUGUGAAAACAUAAUUCUAUAAUUAAUUUGAGAACUGUUUACAACACUGAUGUGUGGAGAUUAAAAUCAUACCUAAACUGUCUAAUUCACUGUAAAACUCCAUGACAUUCGCAGGCCAUCUGUAGUUAAGGGAGCAACGCAUGGAGUGAUGUGUAGAUUACUAGUUUGAUGAUGCAUGAGGAGAGGCGGUGGUCGAGUGGCAGAAACUUGGACUAUGGGCAGAGAAGGUCUCUGGUUCGUCUUUGGUUCGACUCCAUGGAGAGACAACAAAAGUCGAACCUGGAUUGAUCUGUCCAAAAAUCCAAGAGUCUCCCUACCCUCUCUAGUGCCCAUGAGCAAGGCACCUCACUCCCCCAACAUCUGCUCCCCCGAGCGCCGUACAUGGUCGCUCACUGCUCUGUGUGUCCUGCACCAGAUGGGUAAAAAGCAGCGAUUAAAUUUCCCUACCUGCAUGAGUGUGCCUUUGCAUGUCUGUGCAUGUGUUUGGGAUGAAUAAAUGGAUUUUAAUCUUAA
Molecule: long non-coding RNA, 1607 nt
Organism: Platichthys flesus (European flounder)
Lineage: Eukaryota; Metazoa; Chordata; Actinopteri; Pleuronectiformes; Pleuronectidae
Exons: 2
Source: RefSeq, a predicted model, not a curated record